This 246-nucleotide long non-coding RNA is filed under the name Elaeis guineensis (African oil palm). Its description in RNAcentral is "long non-coding RNA (EGUI_LNC038317)". Lineage: Eukaryota; Viridiplantae; Streptophyta; Magnoliopsida; Arecales; Arecaceae. The record is from RNAcentral.
AAGGCAAGAGAUAAGAAAUAUCUCUCUCAAUAAAGUAGGAGACAAUAAACGUAUCUCGCCCAAUAAGUCAAAAAUAAUCAUCCGAUUCUCCUUUUUUCUCAUGGCUCUUCAGCUUCAUCUAUAAAUAAAAACCCACAGGAGACCCUCAAGGUAUGAAAAAUCUCUCUCCUAUUACGCUCACUCCUUUCCAUCUAUUCUUCAAAGAUCUAACUUAAAUGUCGAAGGGUCCCCACUAGAGCCAACACC